Podarcis lilfordi (Lilford's wall lizard) is the source of this 2719-nucleotide non-coding RNA. The record is from the annotation of a GenBank genome assembly. NCBI's taxonomy places the organism in Eukaryota, Metazoa, Chordata, Lepidosauria, Squamata, Lacertidae.
GUCACUACCAACAACAACAACACCCUCUCUCUAGUUGCCACUCACCUCACCCCAGGUGGUAGAAUCCUCCUGAGGAGAACUUCUCCCAAUGAUUUCAGCAAACCGGCAGGUGGUUUAGGGGACAGUUGUGUCUCCAGUUUACCCAGUUUAUCCCAAGCCACAUGAGGCAUUAAAGGGAAGCACCAAGUUGUGACUUGUGCAUUAAGCAUCAAUGUAAUAGGAUUCCAAUUUCUGGUCCUAGUUAGUAGCUACCAUAGUCUCAAUUAACUGCAGUUUCUUUAAAGGCAAUUCCACAUUACAUUACAGUAGUUGAUCUUAGGUGUUACUAGCUAGAGCAAGGAUAGCCAGCAUGAUGGCUUCUGGAUGUUAUUGCCAAAUCUGGCUAAGGCUUAUGGAACUUGGAUGCCAACAGCAUCUGAAGAAUACCAUGUUGACUACGCCUAAACUAGGCCACGGAUUAGUGUAUUAGUCUACUUCCUGCUAAUACAGCUGCCCACCCCAUGUGAUGGAAGAACGAAAGAUAACACUGUGCAUGUUGAGUGUGCCAUGGCACUCACUACUCUAAACAUUUGCAACAUCUAGAAGCCCAGUUGAUAUUCAAUGUUGGAUCACAGUCCAGUCAUUGGGAAGCACACACAGAGCAAGGAAAUGUAACUCAUGUUUCAUAACUUCACAUGUUGUAUCUUGAACAUCUGGAAGAUGUCAGCGAAGACGGAUUCAUCCUGGCUGUAACUGCAUCUUGCUUACCAAGUUUCUAUUUAAAAAUAAAUGAAUUGGGAGGCAGUCUUUCUUUAUGAUUCACCUCUCUUAAAGAUGACAACAGAGCUCUCCUAGCUGAUAAUGGGCUAUCAUAUGAUGGAACAAGAUGUUCAUUUAUUGUUCUAAUGUAUGCUAUAAAAUAACAAUUCUCAGCCUUCAUAUAGAACAGUUUUGCAUGUCCAAAGUACUUUGGAGGAAUGGUUUCAAUGAUCCCAAAAUAAUUAUGCAAAAUAGGUUGGUGAUAUUAUUCCCAUGUUACUGAUAAAGGGGUGGGGCUACAGCCAAGUGGUACAAUGACUUGACCGAGGUCAUGAAACAAGUUCAGGAAAUUUUAAACCAGGAACUCCAUAGCUCAAAUAUGAGUCAAACUGCAAGCUCUCAAUUGUCAGGCGUUCGUCCUACACUCGAAUAGGACCCAGGCAGAGACACAUGCCCAACUGGCAUGUUCCCUCCCUCCUGGUCGAUCGUUCUGGAGGUUCAAAAGCUUUCUUCAGCCCAAACAUCACAGCGACCGAUGCCAACAGACACUGGCACACUUAGGGAUCCGCAGAGUCUUCGCAGCUUGCGUGACAGACAUCAGCAACUCAGCAUUUUGGCUAAUCUACUUUAUAUACAUAUCAACACACACGGAACACUGCAACAUGGCUCCCUCUCUCUCUAGCAUCAGACAGCAACGAGAAAAAACAAUGGACAAUAGUCCCACUUCAUGGAACACAGUAACACAAACACCCUGUCUCUGACACUUCCCACUCUGUGGAGUCAAAACAUAUACCAUCAUGUGAUAGACAACAAUCCCAUGACUGCAAUCAUGGAGCAGGAAUUCUAACACCAAUAAGUAUUAAAGUGAGUGGUGGUGGCUGUAGGAACAGAGACUUGCCUAGUGAAAAGGUGGGUAAUCUGGUGCCCUCCAGAUCUUGUUGGACUCCAACUCCCAUCAGCCCCUAGUGGCAUGGCCAAUGGUCAGAUGAAAUGGGAGUUGUAGUCGCCUGACAUCUGGGCAGCCAAUGAUCAUUGGAACCAGAUAUUUCCCAGCUUAAACAUAUUGCCAUUGCGCCAGCUCUGGUUACUUUUGAAUAGAAAGGCAAAAUGUUUCUACAGAGAGAGAGAGAGAGAGAGAGAGAGAGAGAGAGAAACCUAUUAUUGUGCUGGAAAAAAGCAGAUGAAGACAAUUCAGAGGCAGGAAAAUUGUACAUCAAUACAUUCUGAACACUCUAAUAUCAAAGGAAAAUGGCUUUUCUGUCAUGUUUCCUGACACAAAGAACAAGGAAAAUGAGCACAUAUUGUAUUGUGUGUUGCUGAAGCUGGUAACGGGCUUGUUAUUCAUGAUGGUGAUGGGGCUUGCUAUUGUUUCAUUAAUAAGCAAUUUCCUAGAUUUCUACCAGCUGCACUUGAAUGCGUACAAGCAAUCUUGCCUGUAAUUUAACUUCAUUUUUUGAAAGGGGUAAAAUGAAACUCUUUUUUUAAAAAAAAUCACAGUUACUUCUGUUUUAACAGCUUGCAGUCAAGGACACAAGAUCCCCCACCCCAACCUGGUGUUUUUUUUCCUUUUAAAAUUUAUUUUAUAGCUUUAAAAGGAUUUCUGUAAUUUGCAGUCUUUACUCUGAUGUGUGGGAGAAGACAAGGGAAGCAUUUCCUCCAGAAAAGCCAUGUGCUGCCUUUCAAAGGGAGAAAGAUGGAUAUUAGCUUGGUACAUGUGUGCUUUCCCCACUUUUGAGCUUUGCACAAUGUUUGACCAUUUUAAUGGAAAGAGUUUCUUUGGGUUCUGCAAACUAUGAAGUUUUCCUGCGCAAGCCCCAUUGAAAAGGGAUAUGGGCAGUGAAACAUGCUCAUUCAUUUCCAUGCCAUUCUCUUCCAUGGCUCCUGAAUUCAUUUCAUGAGGACUUGUGCAGGGUAAUCUCCUGGUGCACAAUGUCCACUUGAGAGUUCAACAAACAAUUUUCAACCUCUUGCCAUUUGGUGC